RNAcentral lists this small RNA (29 nucleotides) under Bombyx mori (domestic silkworm). RNAcentral describes it as "ovarian small RNA-18013". Lineage: Eukaryota; Metazoa; Arthropoda; Insecta; Lepidoptera; Bombycidae. The record is from RNAcentral.
UAAAACAAAGACACAGCUUUGCCUUGAGC